RNAcentral lists this ribosomal RNA (253 nucleotides) under uncultured bacterium. RNAcentral's name for it is "partial 16S ribosomal RNA". It matches the Rfam family "Bacterial small subunit ribosomal RNA", at positions 524 to 776 of the family's 1533-position model. The record is from RNAcentral.
UACGGAAGGUGCAAGCGUUGUUCGGAUUGACUGGGCGUAAAGCGCACGUAGGCGGGUUCGCAAGUCGGAUGUGAAAGCCCCGGGCUUAACCUGGGAACUGCACUCGAAACUGCGAAUCUUGAAUGCUUGAGAGGUUGGUAGAAUUCCUGGUGUAGGAGUGAAAUCCGUAGAUAUCAGGAGGAAUAUCGGAGGCGAAGGCGACCAACUGGUGGUGCAUUGACGCUGAGGUGCGAAAGCGUGGGUAGCAAACAGG